UUUAUGGAGAGUUUGAUCCUGGCUCAGGAUGAACGCUGGCGGCGUGCCUAAUACAUGCAAGUCGAACGCAACACUUCGGUGUUGAGUGGCGAACGGGUGAGUAACACGUAGAUAACCUGCCCUU
RNAcentral lists this ribosomal RNA (124 nucleotides) under Bacillota bacterium. RNAcentral's name for it is "partial 16S ribosomal RNA". It matches the Rfam family "Bacterial small subunit ribosomal RNA", at positions 1 to 133 of the family's 1533-position model. The record is from RNAcentral. Lineage: Bacteria; Bacillati; Bacillota.